RNAcentral lists this ribosomal RNA (221 nucleotides) under Chloropicon mariensis. RNAcentral's name for it is "partial Bacterial large subunit ribosomal RNA". It matches the Rfam family "Bacterial large subunit ribosomal RNA", at positions 2185 to 2405 of the family's 2925-position model. Lineage: Eukaryota; Viridiplantae; Chlorophyta; Chloropicophyceae; Chloropicales; Chloropicaceae. The record is from RNAcentral.
GCCAUCCUUGAAAUACCACCCUGGUUUGUUUGAGGUUCUAACCUUGGUCCGUUAUCCGGAUCGGGGACAGUGCAUGGUAGGCAGUUUGACUGGGGCGGUCUCCUCCUAAAGAGUAACGGAGGAGUACGAAGGUGCGCUCAGACCGGUCGGAAAUCGGUCGUAGAGUAUAAAGGCAAAAGCGCGCUUGACUGCGAGACCCACACGUCGAGCAGGUACGAAAG